Long non-coding RNA from Brienomyrus brachyistius, 1004 nucleotides. RefSeq lists it as uncharacterized. Lineage: Eukaryota; Metazoa; Chordata; Actinopteri; Osteoglossiformes; Mormyridae. The record is from RefSeq and is a predicted model, not a curated record. The transcript is spliced from 2 exons.
GGGCAGGCAACACCCACCCAAAUUUCUGCUCAACCCACCCAAUUGGGUUCUGCAUUGCAGUAUAGACCAUUGUGGGGAAAGGUGCCCAUCCAAAUUUUCUAAUUGGCCCCCCAAUCUGAGCAGUGUUGAUCUGGGCCUGAGCACGUGGGGGACAGGUAGCUGCCUGGAUAGAGGGUAAUUCAGUGAUGUCACUCCCAGAAGUCUUCAGAUGAGGAGGGGCUACAGUGGUACAGUACGUUAAUAUCAUGCUGGUUCCGUACCUGGCAGUGUCCUGGAGAGGAGGACGUUCUAGAACAUUCUACUCCUAUCGAACAGAGAGGUCCGGGAUAGGAAGACCGCGAUCCUUCAGAGUGCCUUAGUACUCGGUGCCGUCUGUCGGGCGGAGGGAGAGCGGCUCAGGAACACGAGCCCACAUGGAGAGAGCGCCCCCAGCACCAUCACAGGGAGGAAGGCGCCCUCCAGCCUGGAGGCUGAACACGCUCUCCUCUGCCAGGAACUGCCUGCAUACUCUCGCCACAUGAGGCCGGGCAUUGUCGUGCACCAGGAGGAGCCUAGGACCCACUGCACCAGCAAAGGGUCUAACAGUGGGUCCAAAGAUUUCAUCCCGAUACCUGAUGGCAGGAAAGGUGCCGUUGUCUGCCCUGUAGAGGCCUGUGCGUCCCUCCAUGGAUAUGCCUCCCCAGACCGUCACUGACCCACAACCAAACCAGUCAAGCUGCAAGGCUCUGGCAGUGCUCAUGCUACCAGCAGCGAUAUUGACCAUAGCCACUGCGAAACCAGUGAAAAAACAAUCAAAAACAAUGUGGAGGGAAAAAUGUCAGUGGCCCCCACCUGUUAAAUCAUCCCUGUUUUGGGGGUCGUCUCAUUGUUGCCCCUCUAGUGCGCCUAUUGUUAAUUUCAUUAACACCAAAGCAGCUGAAACUGAUUAACAACCCCAUCUGCUACUUAACUCAAUAUCCCAGAAGUUUAAUUGACUAUACUCUGAUUAAAAAGUGUUUCUUAAA